GCCCAGAUGGCGGAACUGGUAGACGCGCUAGGUUCAGGUCCUAGUGGCCGCAAGGUCGUGGAGGUUCGAGUCCUCUUCUGGGCACCA
This 87-nucleotide transfer RNA is filed under the name Deltaproteobacteria bacterium RBG_16_71_12. Its description in RNAcentral is "tRNA-Leu". It matches the Rfam family "tRNA". From Rfam's summary of the family: Transfer RNA (tRNA) molecules are approximately 80 nucleotides in length. Their secondary structure includes four short double-helical elements and three loops (D, anti-codon, and T loops). Further hydrogen bonds mediate the characteristic L-shaped molecular structure. tRNAs have two regions of fundamental functional importance: the anti-codon, which is responsible for specific mRNA codon recognition, and the 3' end, to which the tRNAs corresponding amino acid is attached (by aminoacyl-tRNA synthetases). tRNAs cope with the degeneracy of the genetic code in two manners: having more than one tRNA (with a specific anti-codon) for a particular amino acid; and 'wobble' base-pairing, i.e. permitting non-standard base-pairing at the 3rd anti-codon position. The record is from RNAcentral. RNAcentral also lists the same sequence under 1 other name. Lineage: Bacteria; Deltaproteobacteria.